ACUCCUACGGGAGGCAGCAGUGAGGAAUAUUGGACAAUGGGUGAGAGCCUGAUCCAGCCAUGCCGCGUGCAGGAAGACUGCCCUAUGGGUUGUAAACUGCUUUUAUACAGGAAGAAACACUCGGACGUGUCCGAGCUUGACGGUACUGUAAGAAUAAGCACCGGCUAACUCCGUGCCAGCAGCCGCGGUAAUACGGAGGGUGCAAGCGUUAUCCGGAAUCAUUGGGUUUAAAGGGUCCGCAGGCGGUCAAUUAAGUCAGAGGUGAAAUCCCAUAGCUUAACUAUGGAACUGCCUUUGAUACUGGUUGACUUGAGUUAUACGGAAGUAGAUAGAAUGUGUAGUGUAGCGGUGAAAUGCAUAGAUAUUACACAGAAUACCGAUUGCGAAGGCAGUCUACUACGUAUAUACUGACGCUCAUGGACGAAAGCGUGGGAGCGAACAGGAUUAGAUACCCCUGGUAGACUGUCA
RNAcentral lists this ribosomal RNA (468 nucleotides) under uncultured bacterium. Its description in RNAcentral is "bacterial SSU rRNA". It matches the Rfam family "Bacterial small subunit ribosomal RNA", at positions 335 to 802 of the family's 1533-position model. The record is from RNAcentral.